RNAcentral lists this ribosomal RNA (253 nucleotides) under uncultured bacterium. RNAcentral's name for it is "partial 16S ribosomal RNA". It matches the Rfam family "Bacterial small subunit ribosomal RNA", at positions 524 to 776 of the family's 1533-position model. The record is from RNAcentral.
UACGGGGGGGGGCAAGCGUUGUUCGGAAUUACUGGGCGUAAAGGCUCGUAGGCGGCCAACUAAGUCGGAUGUGAAAUCCCCAGGCUCAACCUGGGAACUGCAUCCGAUACUGGAUGGCUUGAAUCCGGGAGAGGGAUGCAGAAUUCCAGGUGUAGCGGUGAAAUGCGUAGAUAUCUGGAGGAAUACCGGUGGCGAAGGCGGCAUCCUGGACCGGCAUUGACGCUGAGGAGCGAAAGCUAGGGGAGCAAACGGG